This 393-nucleotide ribosomal RNA is filed under the name uncultured bacterium. Its description in RNAcentral is "partial 16S ribosomal RNA". It matches the Rfam family "Bacterial small subunit ribosomal RNA", at positions 523 to 918 of the family's 1533-position model. The record is from RNAcentral.
AUACGGAGGAUGCAAGCGUUAUCCGGAUUUAUUGGGUUUAAAGGGUGCGUAGGCGGUUUACUAAGCGGGAGGUGAAAUGCCGGCACUCAACGUCGGAAGUGCCUCCCGAACUGGUGGACUUGAAUGACUCUGCCGUGGGAGGAAUGUGUAGUGUAGAGGUGAAAUGCUUAGAGAUUACACAGAACACCGAUUGCGAAGGCAUCUCACGAAGGGUUGAUUGACGCUGAGGCACGAAAGCGUGGGGAUCAAACAGGAUUGGAUACCCUGGUAGUCCACGCAGUAAACGAUGAUGGCUAACCGCUGGGCUUAUCAGUUCAGUGGCCAAGCGAAAGCGAUAAGCCAUCCACCUGGGGAGUACGACCGCAAGGUUGAAACUCAAAGGAAUUGGCGGGG